UAAAAUCCUUCUAUCAAAAUAAUAAAAAUAAAAGAUCAAGUCCCUCUAUCCCCA
Molecule: transfer RNA, 54 nt
Filed under: Achlydosa glandulosa
Lineage: Eukaryota; Viridiplantae; Streptophyta; Magnoliopsida; Asparagales; Orchidaceae
Description: transfer RNA-Leu
Source: RNAcentral